Molecule: non-coding RNA, 3288 nt
Organism: Nicotiana tabacum (common tobacco)
Lineage: Eukaryota; Viridiplantae; Streptophyta; Magnoliopsida; Solanales; Solanaceae
Source: RefSeq, a predicted model, not a curated record
CAACUAUUUUUUCUCCUUAAAUUUUAUUCCUCUCUUAGAAUCCAGCUCUUUCCAUGAAAAAUCUUCCUUAAAAAUUCUCCUUAAUUCUCUUCCAUUGUCUCCUCCUUUUUCCCAUUAAAAAAAUUUAAAAUUAGUAUCUGCUUUUGGAGCUCCGGCGGUUUUGUUUUUUCCGGCGGUGGCGAUGUUGUCGCUGCAAACCGAUCCUCGGCAGUACAAUCAUCAGCAGCAGCAACAGCAAAAUCAGCUGCUGAUGAUUUCUAGGGUUCCGUCGUAUGAUGGUGGCGUUACCGCUGGUGAUCAGAGGAUUGAUUCCUCUUUUCCGUUUCAGUCUGAAUCCGCAUUGCCUUUCGCUAGUAUCAAGUCCGAGUUGUCUCGUGAAGUAGAUGAGGACGCUCUUUUAACUCUUGCUCAUCAGAACUACAAAGCUGGGAACUAUAAACAGGCACUAGAGCAUAGCAAGGCAGUUUAUGAGAGAAAUCCAGGGCGCACUGAUAAUCUUCUUCUUUUUGGGGCUAUAUAUUAUCAGUUGCACGAUUUUGAUAUGUGCAUUGCAAAGAAUGAAGAAGCCCUAAGGAUCGACCCACAUUUUGCUGAGUGCUAUGGAAAUAUGGCGAAUGCUUGGAAGGAAAAAGUCAAUAUUGAUGUUGCAAUACGCUAUUACUUAAUUGCAAUUGAGCUCCGUCCCAAUUUUGCGGAUGCAUGGUCAAAUUUAGCCAGCGCAUAUAUGAGGAAAGGAAGGCUGAAUGAGGCAGCCCAGUGUUGCCGCCAGGCUCUAGCAUUAAAUCCACGUUUGGUUGAUGCUCACAGCAAUCUCGGCAAUCUGAUGAAAGCACAAGGUCUAGUCCAAGAGGCAUACAAUUGUUAUGUUGAAGCAUUGCGUAUACAACCUACAUUUGCCAUCGCAUGGUCCAAUCUUGCUGGCCUUUUUAUGGAGGCAGGUGAUCUUAACAGGGCUUUGCAGUACUACAAGGAAGCGGUCAAACUAAAACCGAACUUCUCAGAUGCGUAUCUGAAUCUGGGAAAUGUAUACAAGGCUUUGGGAAUGCCCCAGGAGGCCAUUGUGUGUUAUCAGCGUGCGCUCCAAGUACGACCAGACUAUGCCAUGGCUUUUGGCAACUUAGCUAGUGUGUACUAUGAACAAGGAAAUAUGGAAAUGGCAAUACUUAACUACAGGAGAGCUAUUACUUGUGAUGCUGGAUUCUUGGAGGCAUAUAACAAUUUGGGUAAUGCUCUGAAAGAUGCUGGUAGAGUGGAGGAAGCAAUUCAUUGCUAUCGUCAAUGCCUCUCUCUUCAACCUAGCCAUCCGCAAGCACUGACCAAUCUGGGAAAUAUUUAUAUGGAGUGGAACAUGAUGAGUGCCGCUGCACAAUGUUAUAAAGCAACUUUGGUUGUGACAACAGGGCUCUCAGCUCCUUUGAACAAUCUAGCCAUAAUAUACAAGCAACAGGGUAAUUAUGUAGAAGCCAUAUCUUGCUACAAUGAGGUACUCAGGAUUGACCCAAUGGCAGCUGAUGGACUGGUCAAUAGGGGUAACACAUACAAAGAGAUUGGUAGGGUUAAUGAAGCUUUACAAGACUACAUGCGUGCUAUUUCCAUUAGGCCUGCUAUGGCAGAGGCUCAUGCAAAUUUGGCUUCAGCUUACAAGGAUAGUNCUCCCCCACUGCCAAAUAUGGGAGGUGGCAGGAACGGCAGCCUGAGGGUUGGAUAUGUGAGCAGUGAUUUCGGCAACCACCCACUAUCGCAUCUAAUGGGUUCAGUUUUUGGGAUGCAUGACAAAGAGAAUGUUGAGGUGUUCUGCUAUGCUUUAAGUCCAAAUGAUGGUACAGAGUGGAGGAUUCGCACCCAGACAGAAGCGGAGCAUUUUAUUGAUGUGUCAUCCUUGUCAUCUGAUGUGAUAGCGAGGAUGAUUAAUGAGGAUCAAAUACAGAUACUUAUCAACCUUAAUGGUUAUACCAAGGGGGCGAGAAAUGAGAUAUUUGCCAUGCAGCCCGCUCCAAUCCAGGUUUCAUACAUGGGGUUUCCUGGAACCACAGGGGCAAAGUACAUAGAUUAUUUGGUUACAGAUGAGUUUGUUUCACCUACGAAGUACGCGCAUAUUUACUCAGAAAAGCUUGUACAUCUCCCUCAUUGCUAUUUUGUCAAUGAUUAUAAGCAAAAAAACCGUGAUGUGCUAGAUCCAACCUGCCAACCGAAGCGCUCAGAUUAUGGACUGCCCGAGGAUAAAUUCAUAUUUGCAUGUUUCAAUCAGCUCUACAAAAUGGACCCUGAGAUUUUUAUAACUUGGUGCAAUAUCCUCAAGCGUGUACCGAAUAGUGCUCUUUGGCUUCUGAGGUUUCCAGCUGCAGGGGAGAUGAGGCUCCGCGCACAUGCUGCUGCACAAGGCCUGCAACCGGACCGAAUUAUUUUCACAGAUGUUGCAAUGAAACAAGAGCACAUCAGGCGCAGCUCCUUGGCUGAUCUUUUCCUUGACACGCCUCUAUGCAACGCACAUACCACAGGAACAGAUGUUCUCUGGGCUGGUCUACCAAUGAUAACCCUUCCCCUUGAGAAGAUGGCUACUAGAGUUGCUGGUUCCCUGUGUGUGGCCACAGGACUUGGGGAUGAGAUGGUUGUCAGCAGUAUGAAGGAAUAUGAGGAGAAGGCAGUGUCAUUGGCACUAAAUCGUCCAAAGCUCCAAGAUCUCACAAAUAGACUAAAGGCUGUGCGCAUGAGCUGCCCUUUAUUUGAUACAGCACGCUGGGUGAGGAAUCUGGAACGUUCUUACUUUAAGAUGUGGAAUCUCUAUUGCUCUGGCCAGCACCCUCAGCCCUUCAAAGUGACUGAAAAUGACUCAAGAGUUUCCUUUUGAUCGCUCGUUGUAGAAAGGAAGUCAACAUGAUUUUGUAGAUAAAACCAAGAGAACAUAAACUGCUAUUUACAUAUAGAAGUUAGAUUACUGGAUUUUAGGUGUUUGUUGGAGUUGUGAUUAAGUCGUAAGUAGUCUUAAGCAUAUCCAUUCAUGGUACUGGAUACUCUCGAUGAAAGUUUAUUAGUUGCUCAAGUGCAAGUGAAUGUCGAGACUCACCCAUUGUCUAGUUUGGUUUGAAUUUGGAGAUGCACAAGAGAGAGGCUGGAGGGAGAAGGGUGGUUGUUAGGUGUAAAAUCCAAGUAUCCGAUCAAGGAGAUGUCAGGAUAGGUGAAUGAUUGUUUUUGAUUGUAAGUUUUUAUUCAUCGGCCUGUCUUGACAUUUUCAGCUGAUUUUUAUGCAGGUGUCCGAUACCCCUAGUAAACCAACAACAUUGUGUUUGA